UACAGAGGGGGCAAGCGUUGUUCGGAAUUACUGGGCGUAAAGGGCGCGUAGGCGGCCAUCUAAGUCAGACGUGAAAUCCCCCGGCUUAACCUGGGAACUGCGUCUGAUACUGGACGGCUUGAGUAUGGGAGAGGGAUGUAGAAUUCCAGGUGUAGCGGUGAAAUGCGUAGAUAUCUGGAGGAAUACCGGUGGCGAAGGCGGCAUCCUGGACCAUUACUGACGCUGAGGCGCGAAAGCUAGGGGAGCAAACGGG
Molecule: ribosomal RNA, 253 nt
Filed under: uncultured bacterium
Lineage: Bacteria
Description: partial 16S ribosomal RNA
Rfam family: Bacterial small subunit ribosomal RNA
Source: RNAcentral